CCCUUAGAGUUUGAUCCUGGCUCAGACUGAACGCUGGCGGCAUGCCUAACACAUGCAAGUCGAACGGCAGCGCGACCCGCAAGGGUUGGCGGCGAGUGGCGGACGGGUGAGGAAUGCAUCGGAAUCUACCCUGUCGUGGGGGAUAACCAACCGAAAGGUUGGCUAAUACCGCAUACGACCGUGAGGUGAAAGCGGAGGACCGUAAGGCUUCGCGCGAUUGGAUGAGCCGAUGUCGGAUUAGCUAGUUGGCGGGGUAAGAGCCCACCAAGGCGACGAUCCGUAGCUGGUCUGAGAGGAUGAUCAGCCACACUGGGACUGAGACACGGCCCAGACUCCUACGGGAGGCAGCAGUGGGGAAUAUUGGACAAUGGGCGCAAGCCUGAUCCAGCAAUGCCGCGUGUGUGAAGAAGGCCUUCGGGUUGUAAAGCACUUUUAUCGGGAGCGAAAAGCGCGGGGUUAAUACCCCUGCGUCAUGACGGUACCCGAUGAAUAAGCACCGGCUAACUUCGUGCCAGCAGCCGCGGUAAUACGAAGGGUGCAAGCGUUAGUCGGAAUUACUGGGCGUAAAGCGUGCGUAGGCGGUUUCCUAAGUCCGUUGUGAAAGCCCUGGGCUCAACCUGGGAAUGGCAGUGGAUACUGGGGAGCUGGAGUGCGGUAGAGGAGGGUGGAAUUCCCGGUGUAGCGGUGAAAUGCGUAGAGAUCGGGAGGAACAUCAGUGGCGAAAGCGACCCUCUGGACAGCACUGACGCUGAGCACGAAAGCGUGGGGAGCAAACAGAUAGAUACCCUGGUAGUCACGCCCUAACGUGCGAACUGGAUGUUGGGCUCACUCGGAGCUCAGUGUCGAGCUACGCGUAAGUCGCCGCCUGGGGAGUACGCUCGCAGAGUGAACUCAAAGGAUU
RNAcentral lists this ribosomal RNA (901 nucleotides) under uncultured bacterium. Its description in RNAcentral is "bacterial SSU rRNA". It matches the Rfam family "Bacterial small subunit ribosomal RNA", at positions 1 to 910 of the family's 1533-position model. The record is from RNAcentral.